This 5131-nucleotide long non-coding RNA is filed under the name Sorghum bicolor (sorghum). RNAcentral's name for it is "long non-coding RNA (SBIC_LNC005568)". Lineage: Eukaryota; Viridiplantae; Streptophyta; Magnoliopsida; Poales; Poaceae. The record is from RNAcentral.
UGUAUACAUUGAUCAUGUGGUUAUGGGAUUAAUUAUGCUACCUUGAUAAUUGCUAUCACAUGAUUAACUAUGCUAUCUACAUAUAAAAGCUAAAUGCAGUCAAACCAGUGUCAGCUAUUUGAGCCUCAUGAACCCCUGGUUAUACUUGUUGAGUACGAUAUGUGCUCACUCUUGCAAUUUCCCCCACACUUUAGGAGUUGUUUUAGGCUUGUGAUCAACCAGUCAGUUGGAUCCUGGAGAGAGGAGUUAAUACCCGAAGUUUGGAGUUGUCUAUCCGCUGUUUGCUAUUAAAGGUUAUCUCUUUUAUAUUAAAUACGUUAUAUAUUUAUGCAUUGUCUUUUGAUAUUACCCUUUAUUUGUAGCUAUAUGUGAGAAUUGACUUCUAAGACUCACAUAUGGUGCAUAUCUGGUUUUGUCCUUAAAAUCGGGAAUUACAAAGUGGUAUCAAAGCAAUGCUGACUGUAGGACGCAAGCCUAGUUAGAAAUUGGACGUCUUAAGGUUUUGGAAUUGCCAUAAAAUCCUUGCUCUAUAAACCUUGGUAUUUUCAUCCAUACUAUAUCCCUAUCCUCGCUAUUUGUCUCUACCUUGUUGUUUAUUUUAAAAGUACUUGUUCUCACCCUCACUGCUUGAUUUGAUAUGCUUUUAGAACCUUGUCUUACCACUUUCUGGCACCAUUGGAAUAGGAGUUUUAGAUCUUUACCCUUACUAUGAAGAGAACGAUAAUAUCGCAAGUUGAGUGAAGUGUGAACCUUCAAUGCUUAAUUGGUUGUUAUUAUGUUUAUGCUUGAUUUGGAUCUUUGUAAUGAGUGCAAUGAUCUUGUGGGAUUUCCUCACAAUUUCAUUAGUUCAUAGGCCUAAGGCAUAAGGAGUAAUGAAAUACGUAGUUGGGCUUGGUUAUAUCUGUUUCUGUCCUUUGCUGAUUUCUAGAGCAGUCUGCAAUGGUUCUGGUGUAUCUCAAGAUCUGAUUGUGAAAAGUUUAUCAAAUUUUUCUGGGCAUAACUAGACUUCAAGAUCUUUCACUGGACGCAAGAAUCACCCUCAUAGCUAUUAUAGUUUGGAAGAUACAAAAAUCACAAAUUGACACAGUUGUGCUGUCUAGAAUCUGGACCAGUUUCGGUUACUUACUGUUUUAGACAUAUAUAACUAUAGAAUUUGGAAAAGUGUUCUAUAGAAAAGUUGUAGAAAAUUUUCUAAUCUUUCCAACGGUAUAAGCUGGAACUUAUUUGGAUAAGAAGAACCUGAGGUAUGAUAUUUAAACUAUGAUGUUUCUGUUCUGUUUCAAAAUCUGGACAGAUUUGGUAUUCCCUAAUUUGAGAUAACUUAACAUCGGAAUCUGGGAAAAAGUUGUAUACGAAAGUUGUAGAUGAUUUCCUAAUCUUUCCAAAAAUAUAAGGAUCAUCUCCAGAUGAGUUAAGUAGCUCGAGAUAUAACUUCUGGAAGUUACUGCACGUUUGCUAAGACAUUGUCAGGAUGGAUUUUAAGUUUGGCUAUUUUACCUAAGCUUAAAGUCAGAACCUAAGGAGGUUUUCUACAUGAAAGAUGCUGGGAAUUUCAUAAGUUUUCUAACGGUAUAAUCUACAACUCUAUUGGAUUAACAGAAUAAGAGUUAUACCUGUUUUACUACGCCGGUGUUUUCAUAUGAAGAGGAAAAUUCUAGGAUACCUGUUUGUUCUCUUGCACAUAAGUUCUUGGGAUGUCAGAGGUUCUCAAUGUUAGUUAAAUUGUCUGGAAGACAGGCAAGCUACCUUUCUUUGCCCCCUAAUUGACUUUUCCUAAGGGGGGUAGCCUAGUUAAAGGAGUUACAAUGAAAAGAAUUAGUUAAUGUUGGAUCAAAUGUAAGGAUCACAAGUGCUUGGUAAAUUUGGUUUUGAUUCAAGAUAUCAUCCUAUUUAGAGAAUAUUAAUGGAGAUAUAUGUCAUUGCUGAUACCCAUGGAUUAAGAGUUAUGUUUAUGAGGAUCAGAUGACACCAAAGUCUACAAAGUUACAUAUACAAUAUGAGACUGAAGCAACUUAAUUGCGAUAAAGGUACCAACAGAUGGAACUUAGUGAUGAAACUAACUUUGGAUUAAGAGACUUGGUACAAGGAAUUUAAAAGACUAUGAUGUGUAGCGUCCAAAAAGGAUAGGAGAACUAGUCCUUAGUGUCCUCCAAUCAAUCUCAUUCUAAGGGGGGUAGCACCUUGAUAUUACGGGAUGAUGCAUUAUAAAACUAUCUUGAAGUGAUAAUUGUCUUCUGAGAUAUUCUAUGAUAUUGGUCAUCUAUAAGAAGUUUAAGUUUUGUCAAGAUUGAUCUUUGGUUCGAGCCACCCUUAGUUGUGAGAUCAAUUUUCACCAUACUUAGCAUGUACCUGAGACGUGAUGUGGAGCGCGGAAGUACUAUCUACUUAGACAUAAAAAAAAUGUCAUCAAGGUUAUAACUCCAAAAAGUGCUAUCACUUGGAGAUAGAUUACUAGAGGGUGCAACGUGAAGCCAAAAUCUCUACAAGAGGAUGGAACAACUCAAGGAAAUGAACAACAUCCAAAGGCAGAGUAUCCAUAUCUCUUUGGUCACUGUCUUCCGAAUCUCGAGGACGAGAUUCAUUUUAAGGGGGGUAGAUUUGUAACACCCUAAAUUUUGCUUCUUUGAAAAUAGAGCUAAAAUAAUUUAAUUUGUAUUUUUGUGCUCAUAAAAAUAUAGAAACAAUAAUAUUUUUUCAUUAAAUUAAAAAUUAUCAUAGGAGUUAGCAAUGUGGUUGAGCAUGCAUGCCUUUGCAUUUAUUUUAUUGAGAUGUGUGGCUGUGUCGAAAAAAUUCCAAAUGAUUCAAAAUAUUUUUGAAAUGAUGUGAAAAUAGCUUUGGGAAUAAAAGAAAACAAAAAGGAAAGAGAAAAAAGGGAAAACCUCCCCCUCUUUUUUUUCCCCCUCGACCCUCUCCCGUGGCCACUUCGCCCAGCAACGAGGUCCAAUGGCCAGCUCAGACAGUGAGCCGAAGCCCAGGUCGCACGCGUUCCCCCUCCCCUCUCUCCUUUCUGCGGCUUACAGCUGGGCCCCGCCUAUCCCUCUCUCUGACCGCUGGGGCCCACUUGUCAGCGCGCGCUAUUCUUCUCCUUCCUCUGUCGUACCCGAGCUGGACACCGCACCGCCGUUUCGAUCCCCAAAACAGCGGGAUUCCCUUGCUCUUUUCGCGAACUAAGAUCCUAUAAAGCUUUCUCCUCAAAACCGCAGCUUCCUUACGCAUCUAAAAGGCGAAUCAAAACCCUAGCCGCCCUCGGUAGUCGGGACCGAGCUCCUCCAUCGCGCAGCGCGCCUCUCUCGCUACUCCUCGGCCCCAGCAAAACACUCCAGCGAGUCCGUGGUGAGCUCCUCUACCCCGUGGUAUUUUCCUUUCGCGAAACGGUGCUCGGAAUCGAGAAGCCUGUCGUCGCCGGCGAGCUUCCUUCCGGCCGGCAAUGGAGCCACCGCACCGGAACCGGAAACCUGCUGGCCGGUUGAAAAAUGCCCCUUUCUGCUAUUUACAAGUUUGCCACUGAUUUUGUUUUGCUCAUAAAAUAUUCAUUAUAACUCCGUUUUUGUCCAUUCAAAUUUCGUUAGAUUCAUAUUUCCGAGCUCUACAAGUUAGUAUUAUUAGUUUACUGAUUUGAAACUUUUUAAUUCUGCAGUAGCAUUUAAUUAAUUAUUUCUCUAUAGGAAAUCUUAGAAAAAUCAUAAGUUCUCCGUUUUAAUUCCGAUUUUCGUGAACUUUACGUUUGUGUGAUCGUAGUGCUGCGUAGAAUAUUUUUAUAAACUUUUAUAUUUGUUUUACUACUGUUUGGUGUAUUGUUCUAAUUAUAGCUUGUUUGCUUCGUGUAUGAUUGUCUACAUUGGAUUGCGUGUUGUUGAUUGAUGUUUGGGAAUAGACGGUGAGCCGUACGUUGGUAAUCAAGGUCAAGCUUUUAAAGAUCAGCAGCAGGCUCAGGAGAGCUUUGAUCAAAGCAAGUAUAACUGGGGACUAUCCUUGUUACCUAUACACAAUUAAUACAAUAUAUAUCAUAUGCAUGUGUCCACCUUGAUGACCUUAGCAAAAUCAUAGAUGAUUGUUAUCCUGAGUUCCUUGUUACCUAUUUGGAUAUGCAUUUGGGUAGUUCUUGCUAGUGCUUGAUUAAUAAUCCAUGAUCUUGUAACAUGAAUAUUUGGAUAAACAAUAAACAAUAAAAUAAGCUUUCUAGCAACUGGAAUAUAAAGGGUGGAAAGAACUCUGGCUUUUGCUGGAUUGAUCUUGACCCUCCAUAAGGACUUAUCCCUUAGCAAAAGCUGGGACAACUCGUACAACCAUGAGAACUAUAUGGCUCUGGUUUUAGCUCAGUAUGAGGACCUUUUUCUAGCUUGUUAGUGGUUACCUUAAAUAGCGUAAGAAUGGCUAGACACGUUGGGUAUAGUGUGGCUUCUGUCCAUGUGUAUAGGCUGCGAGUUAUGUGCCAUGGAAGGGGCGCUCUAUAUCUGCCUGCCGAGUGAAUCUAAUGGCCCUAACUUGUUAGACGAAACCUUUGAAAGGCUUCAUAGUGAUCCCUGCCGACCUUCCUAGGAAGGGGGUUAAGAGACUUGCAACCUCGGGCGAAAGGGUAAAUCACGACUCAUGGGUAAAGAUGUACAACCUCUGCAGAGUGUUAAAUCUGGUAUACUAGCCGUGCCCACGGAUACGGGCGGCCCGGAAAACUGACGGAAUAGACGGACACUGAAUGAACAUGAUUAAUGAUAAUAAAUGAUGGUUUAUUAUAUUGUUUAUAUGUGUUAUUCUUAAUUCUUGUAUACAUUGAUCAUGUGGUUAUGGGAUUAAUUAUGCUACCUUGAUAAUUGCUAUCACAUGAUUAACUAUGCUAUCUACAUAUAAAAGCUAAAUGCAGUCAAACCAGUGUCAGCUAUUUGAGCCUCAUGAACCCCUGGUUAUACUUGUUGAGUACGAUAUGUGCUCACUCUUGCAAUUUCCCCCACACUUCAGGAGUUGUUUUAGGCUUGUGAUCAACCAGUCAGUUGGAUCCUGGAGAGAGGAGUUAAUACCCGAAGUUUGGAGUUGUCUAUCCGCUGUUUGCUAUUAAAGGUUAUCUCUUUUAUAUUAAAUACGUUAUAUAUUUAUGCAUUGUCUUUUGAUAUUACCCUUUAUUUGUAGCUAUAUGUGA